Molecule: unclassified non-coding RNA, 224 nt
Filed under: uncultured Gemmatimonadaceae bacterium
Lineage: Bacteria; Pseudomonadati; Gemmatimonadota; Gemmatimonadia; Gemmatimonadales; Gemmatimonadaceae
Description: contains 16S-23S intergenic spacer region
Source: RNAcentral
UCCGGUUUGACACCGGCAGUCUCCCUAGAGUGCCCGGCAUGACCCGCUGGUAACUAGGGACGAGGGUUGCGCUCGUUGCGGGACUUAACCCAACAUCUCACGACACGAGCUGACGACAGCCAUGCAGCACCUGUGCACGGACUCCGAAGAGGAACCGAUGUUUCCACCGGCUUUCCCGUGCAUGUCAAGCCCAGGUAAGGUGGGGAUGACGUCGUAUCUCACUG